GCACAGAAGUUAGCCGUCCCUCUUCCGAUACUAUCAGCUCAACCGUUGUUCACGGCUGAUCUUUGUUCACGAAUGACAGUGGUUUACGGAUCGAAACCCUUCAUCCCACACGCGGCGUCGCUCCUUCAGGCUUGCGCCCAUUGAGAAAAAUUCUCGA
Molecule: ribosomal RNA, 157 nt
Filed under: uncultured bacterium
Lineage: Bacteria
Description: partial 16S ribosomal RNA
Source: RNAcentral